RNAcentral lists this long non-coding RNA (1010 nucleotides) under Varanus komodoensis (Komodo dragon). RNAcentral describes it as "lncRNA (ENSVKKG00000017473.1)". Lineage: Eukaryota; Metazoa; Chordata; Lepidosauria; Squamata; Varanidae. The record is from RNAcentral.
CCCAUGUGCCUUCUGGUUACUGCCCGGGCUGUGCAUUUCAGCAGUGGGCCGGUCGCCACACAGGAGAGGGCCCUGCUGCCAGGCUGGCAGUGUGGGGUGUUCGGCCCUCCCUGGCGUGCAGCAGGGACAUGCGGUAGGGGGCUGCAGGGCAGGGGAGUGCUCUGUCCCUCUUCUGCCAGCUCCCAGCAGACUAAUCAAGCUCUUUUGCAGAACAGUAACUUCUCUUUUAAUACCCUGCAAAAUUUCUUCCAUUUCCUUUUGAGAACUGUAGACUAAUCAGAGUCCUCUGGCAUUUAUGAUCAUUUUACAGAAAACGGGGCUGACAACAAGUAAGCUUUCCGUGGUUUUCCAGCAAGGCCCUGAACGAACCUGGCUUUGCGGAGUGGCUUUCUCCACAUUCUGCUAGCCGAAGGGAGAAACAAGGAGUUUAGGGUGCAGUUAGAAUCCAAGCCCCAUGCUUGUUAUCUUGAUCAACUCUGACACCAGAGGUCUUUGGUUAUCUUGGAAAGAGAUUGCGGACCUAAUAUAUGAGCAUGUCCAUUUGUGUUGGUGUUCGAAUGCAGAAAAGGGACAAGAGGAAAGAUGAGGAGAAAAAGAAGAAAGCUUGGAUAAAGCAGGAGAGAGAGAAAACCCUGGAGAGGCUGAAAACGUUCAAAGAAAAAUGUCCGGCUCAGUUUGUGGUGAAAACGCCCCGUUCCCAGCCCUUGAACUCCAGACAGCCCCAGGGAGGGGCUCAGCGAUCCCCAGCAGCCCCGGCCUCCUGCCAGCCUUCCCCAGCAGCCCCGCAGCCUCGGUCGAUCGGCAGGGGGGCCGCCGCAAAGCAGCUGAGGGCCUCCCGCCCGUCACCAGCCAAGGACUCCAAGGCCCCUCGGCAGAAGCGCUCGAAGGAUAUACCCAUCCAGAUAUUUGCACCGCCAGGUGGUCCAGAAGAGCACAAGAUGUGUGAGGGGGUGCCGCCUCCCCCACCGCCGCCGCCGCCUCCCCCACCGCCGCCCCCUCCACCGCCGCCG